This 883-nucleotide long non-coding RNA is filed under the name Hordeum vulgare. Its description in RNAcentral is "long non-coding RNA (HVUL_LNC005184)". The record is from RNAcentral. Lineage: Eukaryota; Viridiplantae; Streptophyta; Magnoliopsida; Poales; Poaceae.
GUACAUGUUAAUGGGGCAGGACGCAUUAAUGCAUGACACAUGCACGUAGCCUCGUCGGCAACCCCGGCAUGCAACACGAACACGUGUUGCCUUUUACAUAGAACAACAUUUAUUUAACUUGUACCAUCUCAAAUGAACUUAUGCCGAUCUUAAAACAUGGCGAGCCAUUUAAUAUAUUUUAUUCGUAAAAACUACUUCCUCUGUAAAUUAAUAUAAAAGUAUUCAGAUAACUAAAAUAGGGAUCUAAACGCUUUUAUAUUAGUUUAGGAAGGGAAUAAUUUACAAGGAAGCAAUACCAGAAAGUACAGACGAAGAACUUGGUAUGAAAGCAACAGGGGUCGCAUCAUUGCGAGGAAAACCAUAGCCACAUGAAGCAGAAGAAUCAACUACAAUAAGAUGAAAAACAAAUAGGUAAUAAAGAAAUAAACCGAAAGACUGAAACAACUCAAUAUUAGAAUAGAUGUACUUACCAACAACAGAAUCAACAUGCCGCUUUCCUAGACGGAUCUCUUGACGUCGACGACGUAAAUCAACAGCAGAGGAACUCUGACCUCGAACCUUUAUACGAAACAACCAUACAAAUACUUACUUAGGCGGUGAACACGCAACAACGCAAAGACAGAUCAAAUAUACUGAACCAACCAGUAGAUGUGUGAAGCCAAUGGAACGAUGAAUAUUAGGACGCCCCCCAUGCAGUAAAUCAACAUCGUACAGACGACCACCACUGACAGCUUCCGACAUGGAAGCUCCAUGGCCUCGCAGAUGAUUACGUCCAAUAACCGCCCCACGAAUCCCACAAGGACGACCCGGACGACGGAGCCACAGAUCAUUACGCCCAAUAACAGUUCCACGUAUACCAGGAGGACGCCCUGGACGAUGAAAG